AUACGGAGGGGGCUAGCGUUGUUCGGAAUUACUGGGCGUAAAGCGCGCGUAGGCGGUUUUCCAAGUUGGGGGUGAAAUCCCGAGGCUCAACCUCGGAACUGCCCUCAAAACUGGAUGACUAGAGUCCGGGAGAGGUUGGCGGAAUUCCUAGUGUAGAGGUGAAAUUCGUAGAUAUUAGGAAGAACACCAGUGGCGAAGGCGGCCAACUGGACCGGUACUGACGCUAAGGUGCGAAAGCGUGGGGAGCAAACAGGAUUAGAAACCCCAGUAGUCC
Molecule: ribosomal RNA, 274 nt
Filed under: uncultured bacterium
Lineage: Bacteria
Description: partial 16S ribosomal RNA
Rfam family: Bacterial small subunit ribosomal RNA
Source: RNAcentral